GUCUAUGGCCAUUCCACCCUAAAGUCGCCGGGUCUCGGCUGAUCUCGGAAGCUAAACAGAGUUGGGCUUGGGAUUUUAAGAUGGGAGAAAACAGGAGACCAGAGAGC
Ribosomal RNA from Ursus americanus (American black bear), 107 nucleotides. NCBI's taxonomy places the organism in Eukaryota, Metazoa, Chordata, Mammalia, Carnivora, Ursidae. The record is from Ensembl.